This 253-nucleotide ribosomal RNA is filed under the name uncultured bacterium. Its description in RNAcentral is "partial 16S ribosomal RNA". It matches the Rfam family "Bacterial small subunit ribosomal RNA", at positions 524 to 776 of the family's 1533-position model. The record is from RNAcentral.
UACGAAGGGUGCAAGCGUUGUUCGGAAUUACUGGGCGUAAAGCGCACGUAGGCGGCUUUCUAAGUCGGGGGUGAAAUCCUGGAGCUCAACUCCAGAACUGCCUUCGAUACUGGAGAGCUUGAGUCCGGGAGAGGUGAGUGGAACUGCGAGUGUAGAGGUGAAAUUCGUAGAUAUUCGCAAGAACACCAGUGGCGAAGGCGGCUCACUGGCCCGGUACUGACGCUGAGGUGCGAAAGCGUGGGGAGCAAACAGG